GGCCUGCGCGGAAGAUGUAACGGGGCUAAACCAUGCACCGAAGCUGCGGCAGCGAACGUAUCACCCAAGACAACUUUACGGAGUUGACGAUUGACGGAGCGAAGCGACGUCAAAGCGUUCAUUAAAGUCGAGUUGGCUUAGGGAUACGUUCGUUGGGUAGGGGAGCGUUCUGUAAGCCUGUGAAGGUGUGUCGUGAGGCAUGCUGG
Molecule: ribosomal RNA, 206 nt
Filed under: Salmonella enterica subsp. enterica serovar Heidelberg
Lineage: Bacteria; Pseudomonadati; Pseudomonadota; Gammaproteobacteria; Enterobacterales; Enterobacteriaceae
Also listed under: 2 other names
Description: partial 23S ribosomal RNA
Rfam family: Bacterial large subunit ribosomal RNA
Source: RNAcentral